AACGAACGCUGGCGGCAUGCCUAACACAUGCAAGUCGAACGAGACCUUCGGGUCUAGUGGCGCACGGGUGCGUAACGCGUGGGAACCUGCCCUUAGGUUCGGAAUAACUCCCCGAAAGGGGUGCUAAUACCGGAUAAUGUCUUCGGACCAAAGAUUUAUCGCCUUUGGAUGGGCCCGCGUUGGAUUAGCUAGUUGGUAGGGUAAAAGCCUACCAAGGCGACGAUCCAUAGCUGGUCUGAGAGGAUGAUCAGCCACACUGGGACUGAGACACGGCCCAGACUCCUACGGGAGGCAGCAGUGGGGAAUAUUGGACAAUGGGCGAAAGCCUGAUCCAGCAAUGCCGCGUGAGUGAUGAAGGCCUUAGGGUUAUAAAGCUCUUUUACCUGGGAUGAUAAUGACAGUACCGGGAGAAUAAGCUCCGGCUAACUCCGUG
This 433-nucleotide ribosomal RNA is filed under the name uncultured bacterium. RNAcentral describes it as "partial 16S ribosomal RNA". It matches the Rfam family "Bacterial small subunit ribosomal RNA", at positions 29 to 507 of the family's 1533-position model. The record is from RNAcentral.